UACGUAGGUCCCGAGCGUUGUCCGGAUUUAUUGGGCGUAAAGCGAGCGCAGGUGGUUUAUUAAGUCUGGUGUAAAAGGCAGUGGCUCAACCAUUGUAUGCAUUGGAAACUGGUAGACUUGAGUGCAGGAGAGGAGAGUGGAAUUCCAUGUGUAGCGGUGAAAUGCGUAGAUAUAUGGAGGAACACCGGUGGCGAAAGCGGCUCUCUGGCCUGUAACUGACACUGAGGCUCGAAAGAGUGGGGAGCAAACAGG
RNAcentral lists this ribosomal RNA (252 nucleotides) under uncultured bacterium. Its description in RNAcentral is "partial 16S ribosomal RNA". It matches the Rfam family "Bacterial small subunit ribosomal RNA", at positions 524 to 776 of the family's 1533-position model. The record is from RNAcentral.